CGGCGCCGGCGGGCGGGGCUGGACGCCUUCUGCGGUCGGCGCGGGAAAGGGGCGCCGGAGUGGACGCGCUCUGACCCCGGGCGUGGGUUGCAGGUUGUGCUCCCGGCCCACUCCCCAGCCUUGCAGCAUCCGCUGCCUCCGGGAAGGCGGGCCGAAUCUCGCCAGGUUGGUAGCUUGCGGAUGGGAGCUCGACCGACCCUCAUCCCCGGCCGACUCCUGGCGCCGGAGCGGACAGGACUGCGAGGAUGUGGAGAUUAUAUUUCGGGGACGGCGAGUGAAUCUGCGUUCUCGUCACCACCCAAGAAGGGACUGGGGACCCGUUCUGAGGGGCGAGGGCUCCUGAGGUCUGUCCCUAGUGUUUUCCUUGAAGUGUUUCCUGGUCACCAGUGACGGUGAUAGUUUCUUGAUGGACUCCCUUUACGACUGGAGGAGCAUCAUCUCCUCCCCAUUAUGCACCCUAGCAAAGAAAACACUGUGUGACAUCUUGAAGUAGCCUGGCAUCUAUCUGUCACUUGAAUGAUUGUGAAACUUCGGGAAGAUUUGGAAGCGACUGUUGAUGCUAAACCGAUACCAGGUACCAAAAAUAAAUAAAUAAUAAAUAAUAAAUAAAAUUCAUUCAAAGCUUGAAAGAGACACAUCAAGUAAGUUUCCCUGUUUAAUUUCGCUUUGUCUUGAAGACAUGACUUUUUAUCCAAAAACUGAGGUGCUUUAAGCAGCUGUGUUAUCGUUUGUAGGUUACACAACACCCAGUGUCCUGUAAUUUACACUUUAUGUAAUGUAAAAAAAAAAAAAAAAGUUAAUCUCAAGAUAAAAAGAACUUAAUAGGGAGGCAGAAACACAGUUUAUAAAAACAAGAAGCACAUGAACUGUCAAAUCUGAUGCUAAUUAUAAGGCAGUCACAAGUGAGUAUAUAUGAAAUAUAGUUCACAGUGUAUUUUGUUGUAGUAUCUUCCUAGGUUAAAAGAGAGCUCUGACCCCAGAAAUGGGUUGCGAGUUAUGCUGCCCAUGGACACCCUAGCCUUCCAUCAUCAGCUGCCAUCUGUCAUUGAAGGGAUGUUUUUGUAUUAAAAGAUCGUUACAGAAAUUGAGCUGACCUAACUUUAUGACUGUUCACGAAUUCGUAUUUACUAAGGAGUGGUCUAUUUAGAGCAGAAUUUAACUCCAAAAAAGAUUUUUUUCAUUUUAUUAUUUAGAAGAGAGUUCACUGUGAGUUCUGUUCUGUUAAGGCCUAUAUUAGUUUGGUACAACUGCUGCCACAAAUACCCAAAACUACAUGUCUUCAAAUAAGUAAAAUGUGUUGCCUCACAAUUCUGGAGAAACAAGUCCAAAAUCAAAGUGUUAGCAGAAGUAUGGAGGUCCACAAAAAGGCUCACACCAGCCUGAGUUCUUCCUAACUCACUUGAGAGUGCUUGGGGAUGUCUUCCUGUCCAAAGAACUGCUGACUGCAGAUGAAGGCGGAGGAAGACGACUCAUCAACUCCAACUCUUAAUUCCAGAAAACCCCC
This 1504-nucleotide long non-coding RNA is filed under the name Heterocephalus glaber (naked mole-rat). Its description in RNAcentral is "lncRNA (ENSHGLG00100032872.1)". The record is from RNAcentral. Lineage: Eukaryota; Metazoa; Chordata; Mammalia; Rodentia; Bathyergidae.